CCUACGGGAGGCAGCAGUGGGGAAUAUUGCUCAAUGGGGGAAACCCUGAUGCAGCGACGCCGCGUGAGUGAAGAAGUAUUUCGGUAUGUAAAGCUCUAUCAGCAGGGAAGAUAAUGACGGUAUCUGUCUGAGAGACCCCCGCUAAAUACGUGCCAGCAGCCGCGGUAAUACGUAGGGGGCAAGCGUUAUCCGGAAUUACUGGGGGUAAAGGGAGCGUGGGUGGCAGGGCAAGUCAGAUGUGAAAAACCGGGGCUCAACCCCGGGAGUGCAUUUGAAACUGUCCAGCUGGAGUGCAGGAGAGGUAAGCGGAAUUCCUAGUGUAGCGGUGAAAUGCAUAGAUAUUAGGAGGAACACCAGUGGCGAAGGCGGCUUACUGGACUGUAACUGACACUGAGGCUCGAAAGCGUGGGGAGCAAACAGGAUUAGAUACCCGUGUAGUC
Molecule: ribosomal RNA, 440 nt
Filed under: uncultured bacterium
Lineage: Bacteria
Description: partial 16S ribosomal RNA
Rfam family: Bacterial small subunit ribosomal RNA
Source: RNAcentral